This is a non-coding RNA of Fukomys damarensis (Damara mole-rat), 323 nucleotides long. The record is from Rfam. Lineage: Eukaryota; Metazoa; Chordata; Mammalia; Rodentia; Bathyergidae.
GGGUGUGAGGGUGAUCUGGCUGUGACGUCUGCCACCCCAGUGAUAGCCAGGGUUGAUUUGGCUGAUCUGGCUGGCUAGGCUGUGUCCCCUUCCUCCCUCACCUCUCCAUGUGCAUCACUCCAGAAGCUGCCCACUCUGUCAAAGAGGAUGGCCACCCCCAAUAAAGGAGGAUCGAUUCCCUAGUCAAAGGUAUGUGAGUAGCUGCACUCUGCUAGAAUCUCCAAACAAGCUCUCAAGAUAUUUCCCAGAUAAUGAUUCCUGAAAGAAUUGUUUCCUAAAGUCUUUGACAUCUGAGCAACAUUGCAGGUCUAGUCUAUGAACUC